Molecule: ribosomal RNA, 358 nt
Filed under: uncultured bacterium
Lineage: Bacteria
Description: bacterial SSU rRNA
Rfam family: Bacterial small subunit ribosomal RNA
Source: RNAcentral
GAUGAACGCUGGCGGCGUGCCUAAUACAUGCAAGUCGAACGCAUUGUGGUUGAAAUGAUAUGAAGAACUUGUUCAGAUUUGAUUUUCAACAUUGCAAUGAGUGGCGAACGGGUGAGUAACACGUGGGGAAAACCUACCUCUUAAGCAGGGGAUAACAUUUGGAAACAAAUGCUAAUACCGUAUAAUAAUUAAAACCGCAUGGUUUUAGUUUAAAAGAUGGUCUUGCUAUCACUAAGAGAUGGUCCCGCGGUGUAUUAGUUAGUUGGUGAGGGUAAUGGACUCACCAAGACAAUGAUACAUAGCCGAGUUGAGAGACUGACCGGCCACAAUGGGACUGAGACACGGCCCAUACUCCUAC